Molecule: long non-coding RNA, 1159 nt
Organism: Cucurbita moschata (crookneck pumpkin)
Lineage: Eukaryota; Viridiplantae; Streptophyta; Magnoliopsida; Cucurbitales; Cucurbitaceae
Exons: 3
Source: RefSeq, a predicted model, not a curated record
GUUAUUAACGCAAGGAAGAAUAGGUUAGUGAUUUUUGGUUCGUCAUCCAAUCUUGCUUUUCUUCUGCAAAAAUUGUCCACCUUAAUAGUGAGAGAAGGAAGAUGGAAGGCAUGGCAGAAGGAGCAGCAGCACCUUCAUUGCCCGACCUUGUACUCUCGCUCGAGCAAGCAUCGUUCAUGGCCAAGCAGCUUUCUUCUACCUCUAACCCAGCCCAUCUCCUCCAAAUCUACAAUUCUCUCCACCAGGCCAACCUCAACCUCUCCGUUUUCCUCUCUACACCUCACUACCCCCAAUCUCUUCCUCUUCCUCCCCCUUCCAUCAACGAUAAUCUCCUCUCCUCUGCAACCAGCGCCGCCUUCAACGACAGCGGCAACGAGCCGAUGCAGGUCGGCGAUGACGAAGAUGCCGAUGCCGAGCAGAAUUCCAAGGGCACGAUUGAAAUGGUUGAGGAGAAGAUGAAGGAUUGUUUUAUUAAGAACAAGCGGGUUAAACGAAAGCUAUCGCCGUCGGCCGCGGCUAUGGCGGAGGAAAGGCGAGUACAUCGUGAUAAUCGGUUUAGUGCGACGGCGAAGGGUUUCGAUCCUCAUGUUGAGAGAUUGCGGGCCUUGGACCUGAUUUCCCAGUUUCAUGCGUGAGGCACAGACGUAGCCGAGUUUGAAAAACGAGAUGGAAGAAUUUAGUCGCAUUCUGGGAUGGAGAUGACAGGUAGGCUUUACAGGGGGAAUUGAGUGCCCACAAGAAGGUGCACGGGUCUCAAUGCCAAUAUCAAUGCUCAAGAGUAAUGUAACGAGGGUCUAUGUGUCAUUAAAGGUUUAUUGCCAGUUUCUUUCAGAACUAGAUUACCAAGUGAGCCACUUUGCCAGAGAUCUGAGCUCUGUCGGUGCCAACAGGGCUUCACCAUGCCUUCGUCAAGUGUCAAUAUGUUAUCAGUUUUGUGCUAUUUUCCUUUCCCCCCAUGGCAUAUGAUGAAAGGAUAGCGGCGUUGAAGAGACAGGCAUCACAUCUGAUUUCUUUUGCGCACAUAAAUAAGCAGGGUGUUAAGAGCACGAUCAACUGCUACACGAAGGCUGAGGCCUAAAUCUACACUACCCAAUGCAAAAGAAUAUGGAAACACUUCUGUACAGAAGUAUGGGAUAUCCAACGAUGUAAUCAUGCUCCU